ACAUACUGAAAAUUACUUUUGGCCUCUUAGUAGCCUUCAGUAAGAUCUUUGUGCCUACAUGAAUAGGAGCAUUAAGCUUAUUACCCAUAAUCAAUAUGUGUGUAAUGAGACCCGUGCUCCGACACUU
This is a small nucleolar RNA of Hyla sarda, 127 nucleotides long. RefSeq annotates it as small nucleolar RNA ACA64. The transcript has a single exon. The record is from RefSeq and is a predicted model, not a curated record. NCBI's taxonomy places the organism in Eukaryota, Metazoa, Chordata, Amphibia, Anura, Hylidae.